Molecule: long non-coding RNA, 1399 nt
Filed under: Octopus vulgaris (common octopus)
Lineage: Eukaryota; Metazoa; Mollusca; Cephalopoda; Octopoda; Octopodidae
Source: RNAcentral
UUUUAUGUUUUGAGAUUUAUUUUUGAGUAAAAGCAUUGAUAAAAGUUUUUGAUUGUAAAGUUAUGGGUAUAAAAAUAUUUGUUUGUAUGUACUGUAAAGGAUGAAGAUUAUAUGGUUUAGUUAUAGUAAAAUUUGAAUUUUGUACCUUUUGCAUAAUGGUUUAAUAAUAUUAUUUAAUGAAUAUGAUUUUCUCGAAAUAUGAAGAUUUAUUUGCUUUAGUAUUAAUUUAUAUGUAGUUAACGUGGUAAAGUUAUUAUUUUAAGAGUAAAUGGUAGUGAAAUGCUAUUCGAUUUAUAUGAUAGCUAGUUUAUUUAUUUUUACAUUUUAGUAUUAGCUAAAAGUUAGUUAUGGAUUAGUAGUUUUUUAGUUUAAGAGUUGGAGGAUAAGCUUCAUAUAUUAUUGUGAGAAUAUGGAUUAGGGUAAAAUGAUUGAUUAAAGUUGAAUUAAUAUUUUUUCUUUAUUAUUAUUUUAUAUUGUUGUUUUAUGUUAUAAAAAUUUCUUCAUAGUAAUUGAAUAAAUAUCUUUUAAUUAUAAAAAGUGAAAUAUAAUAUUGAAAUGAGUAUUGUUAGGUAGUAUAUAUAUAUUAUUAGUUUUAUUUUAUAGUAUUUAAAUUUAAGGUUAGUCGUGUAAAUAUAAGUUUAUAUUAGUAAAGUAAAUUAAAGGAAUUUGGCAAGAAUAAAUUUCGCCUGUUUAUCAAAAACAUGUCUCUUUGAGUUGGGCCUGCUCGGUGAUUAAUAUUUAACAGCUGCGAUAUUAAAACUGUACUAAGGUAGCAUAAUAAUUUGCCUUAUAAAUUGGGGUUAGAAUGAAUGGUUUGACGAGAAUUUAACUGUCUCUAUUUUAUUUAUUUGAAAUUAAUUUUUAUAGUGAAAAAGAUUUAUUUAAAGGGACGAAAAGACCCUAUUGAGCUUUUAUUAUAUAUAUAUAUAUAUAUAUAUAUAUAUAGAGUUUAUUUAUAAAUAAUUGUGGUUGGGGUGAUCAAGGAAUAAAGAGUAUUUGGGUAUUAUUAUAACUUCCUUAAUUUUAAAUUUAUUUGAAUAAUAAACCAAGUUUUUUGCUCAGAAGAUAAGUUACCAUAGGGAUAAUAGCGUAAAUUUUUUUGAGAGUUCAUAUUGAAAAAAGAGAUUGCGACCUCGAUGUUGGAUUAAAAUUGACCUUAAGGUGGAGAGGCCUUAUUGGGUAAUCUGUUCGAUUUUAAAAAAUUUACAUGAUCUGAGUUCAAACCGGUGAAAACCAGGCUGGUUUUUAUCUUUUAAAUUGUUUUUUUUAUUUGAUUUAGUAUGAAAGGAUUGAUUAUGAUUAAUUGUUAUUUAAUUAAUUUUAUAAAUGUUGGAUAAAGUUGGCAGAGAUAUGUGAAUAAUUCGGGAUUAUUUUAUAAAAGUAUAACUUUUACUUUAUA